GUGAAUCAUCAAAUUUUUGAACGCAUAUUGCACUCUCUGGUAUUCCGGUGGGUAUGUCUGUUUGAGGGUAAUUAAAAAGAAUAUUUUACCAAUUUUUUUGGUCCAUGGAUAUGAGUUCUCCGCGUUUUUAGCGGUAGGUUGAAAUAAAUGGUCAAGUCUCAUUUUAGUCGAGACGCGUAAUCUUAUUAUUUCGCGUAUUCUUCAUUAUGUGAUUAUC
This 217-nucleotide unclassified non-coding RNA is filed under the name Glomeromycetes sp. Its description in RNAcentral is "partial contains 5.8S ribosomal RNA and internal transcribed spacer 2". The stretch from base 1 to 71 matches the Rfam family "5.8S ribosomal RNA", at positions 84 to 154 of the family's 154-position model. Lineage: Eukaryota; Fungi; Glomeromycota; Glomeromycetes. The record is from RNAcentral.